This 484-nucleotide long non-coding RNA is filed under the name Homo sapiens (human). RNAcentral describes it as "non-protein coding lnc-MFAP3-1:8". The record is from RNAcentral. Lineage: Eukaryota; Metazoa; Chordata; Mammalia; Primates; Hominidae.
GUCUGAGAGAGAGCCAAGAUGAAUAUGGCCUUCCAAGAAGACAUGCUGACAAGAAAAGACUCAGAGUGCCCAGGAGCUUCCCCUUCCUACCAACCCUGCAGCCUGGAACCCUAGCCAUACCUCUCCCUGACUGUGGACAGUACAGCCUUUGAGCUGAGCCAAGCUGCUCCCCUGGCGAUUUCCAUAAGAGUACCACUUAUCAGCACCUUGGACAGCAUACAAAUGAUUCUGCAUCUCCAGGAAGAACUGGUCCUUCAGCCAAGGGCAGCACUGAGCCCCAAGUGGCCCCAGAUGAGUGCAAAGGACUACCAGUUUUGAUCAGCGACUGGUUGAAUUCGUGGAUGCAAAACCUGUGGAUACAGAGGGACAGAGGCCUACUGUACAUGGCACAUGCCUCCUGAAAAGUGUCAAGAGGUGAUUCUGGGACAGAGGAGCCAGCAGAUGGACUGGCUCCAGGAAGAGUUCCUGAGGUGUCUGAACCAAU